UACGUAGGUGGCAAGCGUUAUCCGGAUUUAUUGGGCGUAAGGGGAACGCAGGCGGUCUUUUAAGUCUGAUGUGAAAGCCUUCGGCUUAACCGGAGUAGUGCAUUGGAAACUGGGAGACUUGAGUACAGAAGAGGAGAGUGGAACUCCAUGUGUAGCGGUGAAAUGCGUAGAUAUAUGGAAGAACACCAGUGGCGAAAGCGGCUCUCUGGUCUGUAACUGACGCUGAGGUUCGAAAGCGUGGGUAGCAAACAGG
This 253-nucleotide ribosomal RNA is filed under the name uncultured bacterium. RNAcentral's name for it is "partial 16S ribosomal RNA". It matches the Rfam family "Bacterial small subunit ribosomal RNA", at positions 524 to 776 of the family's 1533-position model. The record is from RNAcentral.